UACGUAGGCAGCAAGCGUUGUUCGGAAUUACUGGGCGUAAAGAGUGUGUAGGCGGUGUUCUAAGUUUGUCGUGAAAUCUCCCGGCUUAACUGGGAGGGUGCGCCGAAUACUGGCAGGCUAGAGUAUGGGAGAGGGAAGCGGAAUUCCUGGUGUAGCGGUGAAAUGCGUAGAUAUCAGGAGGAACACCUGUGGUGUAGACGGCUUCCUGGACCAUCACUGACGCUGAGACACGAAAGCGUGGGUAGCAAACAGG
This 253-nucleotide ribosomal RNA is filed under the name uncultured bacterium. Its description in RNAcentral is "partial 16S ribosomal RNA". It matches the Rfam family "Bacterial small subunit ribosomal RNA", at positions 524 to 776 of the family's 1533-position model. The record is from RNAcentral.